GAUGAAGAACGUAGUGAAAUGCGAUAAGUAAUGUGAAUUGCAGAAUUCAGUGAAUCAUCGAAUCUUUGAACGCACCUUGCGCUCUUUGGUAUUCCGAAGAGCAUGCCUGUUUGAGUGUCAUGAAAAUAUCAACCUUGACUUGGGUUUUGUGCUCUAGUCUCCGCUUGGAAUUGGGUGCUUGCCGCUUUUACGAGCGGCUCACCUUAAAUGUAUUAGCUGGAUCUGUCUUUGAGACUUGGUUUGACUUGGCGUAAUAAGUAUUUCGCUAAGGACAUUCUUCGGAGUGGCCUCGUUUCUAGGACGCUUGUCCGCUUUCCAAUACAAGUUCCACCUCGUGGACAUGACUUUUUAUUAUCUGGCCUCAAAUCAGGUAGGACUACCCGCUGAACUUAAGCAUAUCAAUAAGCGGAGGA
Molecule: unclassified non-coding RNA, 413 nt
Filed under: soil metagenome
Description: partial contains 5.8S ribosomal RNA, internal transcribed spacer 2, and large subunit ribosomal RNA
Rfam family: 5.8S ribosomal RNA (bases 1-120)
Source: RNAcentral